This is a long non-coding RNA of Zeugodacus cucurbitae (melon fly), 1136 nucleotides long. RefSeq lists it as uncharacterized. The record is from RefSeq and is a predicted model, not a curated record. The transcript has 4 exons. Lineage: Eukaryota; Metazoa; Arthropoda; Insecta; Diptera; Tephritidae.
GUCAUGGGUACUGAAACACAUUCAAAUAAAUUUUAAUAACACCACUACAUACACACAUAUGCAACAAAGGGCGAAAUGUGCAUAAACAUUUACCUCAACUCUUCUUACAGCACCCUGAAUGAACAACCAAAGUUCUCGUGUUUAAACAAGUUUUGUUUUGAGCUAUAUCAUGGCUGCUUGUGAAGUAUUAUUAUGCUUCUUUUUUUAUUUAAAUCAGUGAUCUGCAGCCUAAUUCAAGUUUAAAUUAUUGAAGCACGCAUUUUAAAAACGUAAAAUAAAAGUUUUGUAAAGCCAAAAUAUGGAAUUGAAGAGGGUGAUACAGAAAUACUUCAUGGCAUUGUCAAUUCGAAGCACGCAAUAGAAGCUGCGCCAGCAAUGGUCAACAGCAAGGGCGAAACCAUUGAAUACAUAUUUCAAACAUCAUACUGCGCGUUAAAGGUACGCAACCUAAUUGCUGCUACAUCGAACACAAAUCAUUUACACACCAGAUAUUAAGUUUAAUGUCACUUUUUUACGUGCAAUUAAACCUUUUGCUCAACACAAGCACGAGAAUUGGAACGACAUGGUUUAGGUGCUUUUGAAACCGUAUAUUAUCACGACGUGUGUCAACUGGGUUUUCCCAAUGAGCUAGAGGGCAAAGCAGUUUCAGUAUUCAUUUUCAUUUUCAUUUUCACCAUUAGCAGCUAAAACACAGAAAUUAAAGGGAGGACUUUUUUGAUUCAUUUUCACCUUGUAUUGAGGAAUUAUAACGUUGUUGUAUCGCUUUACAAGGACAUAAAUUCACCGAAAUUAGUUCAAUGGAAAUACUACAGCAAGAGCAUGUAUGUUAUGACUAGAACGUUGCCCGUACUAGAUUUAGAAUUCCUGAAACAUAAGAAACCCUCCUCCCAGAAAUUGGAUGAAACUAGUACUAGUGAAAUUAAUGAAAGAACAGAUCUUACAAAAACUCCUAAAGAAACCAAAAGAGUCCUCACAUAAUGUGCGCAGCUUACACUUCCAGGCCGCUCGGGGUAUUUGACAUUUGCCACUCUUCCUCCAGCCUUUGUCAGAUAGCAACUAUUCAAUAUGUUUUACAUAUGUAUAUAGUGUAGUACGAUAAUACAUUUAUAAAAUAAAUAUAAUAAUAAACACCUAAA